GAUGAACGCUGGCGGCGUGCUUAACGCAUGCAAGUCGAACGGGAAUUACUUUAUUGAAACUUCGGUCGAUUUAAUUUAAUUCUAGUGGCGGACGGGUGAGUAACGCGUGGGUAACCUGCCUUAUACAGGGGGAUAACAGUCAGAAAUGACUGCUAAUACCGCAUAAGCGCACGGAACCGCAUGGUUCUGUGUGAAAAACUCCGGUGGUAUAAGAUGGACCCGCGUUGGAUUAGCUUGUUGGUGAGGUAACGGCUCACCAAGGCGACGAUCCGUAGCCGGACUGAGAGGUUGACCGGCCACAUUGGGACUGAGAUACGGGCCCAGACUCCUACGGGAGGCAGCAGUGGGGAAUAUUGGGCAAUGGGCGCAAGCCUGACCCAGCAACGCCGCGUGAAGGAAGAAGGCUUUCGGGUUGUAAACUUCUUUUGUCGGGGACGA
Molecule: ribosomal RNA, 438 nt
Filed under: uncultured bacterium
Lineage: Bacteria
Description: bacterial SSU rRNA
Rfam family: Bacterial small subunit ribosomal RNA
Source: RNAcentral